AUCAGUGUGGCAGAUUAAAUGCAUUUGACUUAAGAUCAAUUUAUAAUAUAUUUAUAUAUUCUCUGAUG
Molecule: transfer RNA, 68 nt
Filed under: Pseudocapillaria tomentosa
Lineage: Eukaryota; Metazoa; Nematoda; Enoplea; Trichinellida; Capillariidae
Description: tRNA-Leu
Source: RNAcentral